GCCACAUCCGGACGCCGCCGGGAGCCGCCGGGAGCCGCCGGGGUGGGCGGGAGUCGGGGCGGCGCGCAGGUUCCCGGCCCCCUAAGGGACGGUUGCCUUCCCCAGAGCCGGGGACACAGGCGUACGUGCGGGGACCUCGGCGCUGGCCUCCGGGCUUCUGGAGCCCCUCCCUGGUGCGGAGCGGGGACGGUGACCUCCUCGUGGAUUCUGGGAGGGGCAGCCUUGGCAUCAGGACCUGGAAGCCGGAGAGGCUGCAGGGCUUCCAGCCAUGGCCUUGCCACCGGAGGUCACGUAGUGUUUCCACAUUUCCUUAGUGUGUACAUGUGUGGGUCCCUGUGUUGUGGAGGGCUGUGUCUGCUUGGUGUGUGUGCACACGCGUGUGUGCAUGGGUGGGUCCCUGUGUUGUGUAGGGGCCGUGUCUGCUUGGUGUGUGUGCACACGCGUGUGUGCAUGGGUGGGUCCCUGUGUUGUGGAGGGCUGUGUCUGGGCAGGCUGUGUACACACCCAUGUGCAUGUGUGAUGCGCACUGGGGCACUUGUCUGGGUAGUAGAGGUGGAGGCCUGUGUGGCCAUAUGUGCAACUGUGUGUCCGGGUGCGUGUACCACAGUCUUCCCUAAAAUAGUAAUACUGGGACCUACGUCAUGGGGCUGUUGUGACCGCGUGUGGCACUCCAUGUGGGGUGGCACAGCCAGGCGCUGAUCCGGCCACUUUGCCAGUCGGACUGACUGCGUGUCCUCUCCUUAGGGGUGAGAAGCUUCCUGGCAUCGGGCCUGGGCUCCUGAGCCCCUGAGCCAACCGACUGAUGGUCCCUGGGAGACAGCCCCCGCCCUGCUCCUGCCCCCCACACCUGAAAGGCUCAUUGUGUGGGUUUGCUGUGCUCCACAGGGAUGUAAACCGCCCCUCCUUUUCCCUGUUCUGUCUGUGAGAAGGUGCCAGGGAUACUUUUUUUUUUUUUUGAGACCAAGCUUCACUCUUAUUGCCCAGGCUGGAGCGCAAUGGCGCGAUCUCGGCUCACUGCAACCUCCACCUCCCAGGUUCAAGCGAUUCUCCUGCCUCAGCCUCCCGAGUAGCUGGGAUUAUAGGCAUGUGCCACCACACCUGGCUAAUUUUUUUUUUUCAGCAGAGAUGGAGUUUUCUCCAUGUUGGUCAGGCUGGUCUCGAACUCCUGACCUCAGGUGAUCCGCCGGCCUCAGCGUCCCAAAGUUCUGGGAUUGCAGGCGUGAGCCACCGUGCCCAGCCCGUUUUUUUUAAGAGUCGGGGUUUCACUUUAUCGCCCAGACUGGAGUGCAGUGGUGCAAUCAUGGCUCACUGCAGCCUCAACCUCCUGGGCUCAAGCAAUUCUCCCGCCUCAGCCUCCUGAGUAGCUGGGAUCACAGGUAUGCACUAAUUUUUGUAUUUUUUUGUAGAGACAGGGUCUUGCUAUGUUGUCCAGGCUGGUCUUGAACUCCUGGGCUCAAGCAAUCCUCCUACCUUA
This 1474-nucleotide long non-coding RNA is filed under the name Homo sapiens (human). RNAcentral's name for it is "HSALNT0375389". Lineage: Eukaryota; Metazoa; Chordata; Mammalia; Primates; Hominidae. The record is from RNAcentral.